This 1783-nucleotide ribosomal RNA is filed under the name Nepenthes ampullaria. Its description in RNAcentral is "bacterial LSU rRNA". It matches the Rfam family "Bacterial large subunit ribosomal RNA", at positions 658 to 2458 of the family's 2925-position model. The record is from RNAcentral. Lineage: Eukaryota; Viridiplantae; Streptophyta; Magnoliopsida; Caryophyllales; Nepenthaceae.
UAAGGCAGGCGUAGCGAAAGCGAGUCCGAACAGGGCGAUCAGUUGCUGGGCGUAGACCCGAAACCAAGUGACCUAUCCAUGGCCAGGUUGAAGUGCGGUAACACGUACUGGAGGACCGAACCCACUAACGUUGAAAAGUUAGGGAUGAGCUGUGGAUAGGGUGAAAGGCUAAACAAACUUGGAAAUAGCUGGUUCUCUCCGAAAACUAUUUAGGUAGUGCCUCGUGUAUCACCUUCGGGGUAGAGCACUGUCAUGGUUGUGGGGUCCAUUGCGGAUUACUACGCCAUAGCAAACUCGAAUACCGAAGAGUGCAAUCACGGGAGACAGACAUCGGGUGCUAACGUCCGUGUCAAGAGGGAAACAACCCAGACCGCCAGCUAAGGUCCAAAGAUUGGCUAAGUGGGAAACGAAGUGGGAAGGCUAAAACAGUCAGGAGGUUGGCUUAGAAGCAGCCACCCUUUAAAGAAAGCGUAAUAGCUCACUGAUCGAGUCGUCCUGCGCGGAAGAUGUAACGGGGCUCAAGCCAGUCACCGAAGCUGCGGAUGCGAGUUUAACUCGCAUGGUAGGAGAGCGUUCCGUAAGCCUGCGAAGGUGUGUCGAGAGGCAUGCUGGAGGUAUCGGAAGUGCGAAUGCUGACAUGAGUAGCGAUAAAGGGGUGAAAAGCCCCCUCGCCGUAAGCCCAAGGUUUCCUACGCAACGUUCAUCGGCGUAGGGUGAGUCGGCCCCUAAGGCGAGGCAGAAAUGCGUAGCUGAUGGGAAGCAGGUCAAUAUUCCUGCACCAUUGUUAGAUGCGAUGGGGGACGGAUCGCGGAAGGUUGUCCGGGUGUUGGACGUCCCGGUCGCUGCAUUGGAGAAGGUGCUCAGGCAAAUCCGGGCACGCAAUUCAAGGUGUGGCGCGAGUGACUUCGGUCACGAAGCAAUUGGAAGUGGUUCCAAGAAAAGCCUCUAAGCUUCAGUCUAGCGAUGACCGUACCGCAAACCGACACAGGUGGCGAGAUGAGUAUUCUAAGGCGCUUGAGAGAACUCGGGAGAAGGAACUCGGCAAAUUGGUACCGUAACUUCGGGAUAAGGUACGCCUCUGUAGCUUGACUGGCCUGCGCCAGGAGGGUGAAGAGGUUGCAAUAAACUGGUGGCUGCGACUGUUUAAUAAAAACACACCACUCUGCAAACACGAAAGUGGACGUAUAGGUGUGACGCCUGCCGUGCCGGAAGAUUAAAUGAUGGGUGCAAGCUCUUGAUUGAAGUCCCGGUAAACGGCGGCCGUAACGAUAACGGUCCUAAGGUAGCGAAAUUCCUUGUCGGGUAAGUUCCGACCUGCACGAAUGGCGUAACGAUGGCCACACUGUCUCCUCCCGAGACUCAGCGAAGUUGAAGUGUUUGUGAUGAUGCAAUCUCCCCGCGGCUAGACGGAAAGACCCCAUGAACCUUUACUGUAGCUUUGCAUUGGACUUUGAACCGAUCUGUGUAGGAUAGGUGGGAGGCUAUGAAAGCAGGACGCUAGUCUUGCUGGAGCCGUCCUUGAAAUACCACCCUGGUUUGUUUGAGGUUCUAACCUUGGUCCAUGAUCUGGAUCGGGGACAGUGCAUGUAGGCAGUUUGACUGGGCGGUCUCCUCCCAAAGCGUAACGGAGGAGUACGAAGGUACGCUAGGUACGGUCGGAAAUCGUGCUGAUAGUGCAAUGGCAUAAGCGUGCUUAACUGCGAGACCGACAAGUCGAGCACGUGCGAAAGCAGGUCAUAGUGAUCCGGUGGUUCUGUAUGGAAGGGCCAUCGCUCAACGGAAA